AUUGAACGCUGGCGGCAGGCCUAACACAUGCAAGUCGAGCGGUAACAGAUUGAUAGCUUGCUAUCAAUGCUGACGAGCGGCGGACGGGUGAGUAAUGCCUGGGAAUAUACCCUGAUGUGGGGGAUAACUAUUGGAAACGAUAGCUAAUACCGCAUAAUCUCUUCGGAGCAAAGAGGGGGACCUUCGGGCCUCUCGCGUCAGGAUUAGCCCAGGUGGGAUUAGCUAGUUGGUGGGGUAAUGGCUCACCAAGGCGACGAUCCCUAGCUGGUCUGAGAGGAUGAUCAGCCACACUGGAACUGAGACACGGUCCAGACUCCUACGGGAGGCAGCAGUGGGGAAUAUUGCACAAUGGGGGAAACCCUGAUGCAGCCAUGCCGCGUGUAUGAAGAAGGCCUUCGGGUUGUAAAGUACUUUCAGUUGUGAGGAAGGCGUUGGAGUUAAUAGCUUUAGCGUUUGGCGUUAGCAACAGAAGAAGCACCGGCUAACUCCGUG
RNAcentral lists this ribosomal RNA (492 nucleotides) under uncultured bacterium. Its description in RNAcentral is "partial 16S ribosomal RNA". It matches the Rfam family "Bacterial small subunit ribosomal RNA", at positions 30 to 507 of the family's 1533-position model. The record is from RNAcentral.